RNAcentral lists this ribosomal RNA (253 nucleotides) under uncultured bacterium. RNAcentral's name for it is "partial 16S ribosomal RNA". It matches the Rfam family "Bacterial small subunit ribosomal RNA", at positions 524 to 776 of the family's 1533-position model. The record is from RNAcentral.
UACGUAGGGAGCAAGCGUUGUUCGGAUUUACUGGGCGUAAAGGGCGCGUAGGCGGCGCGACAAGUCACUUGUGAAAUCUCCGGGCUUAACUCGGAACGGUCAAGUGAAACUGUCAUGCUAGAGUGCAGAAGGGGCAAUCGGAAUUCUUGGUGUAGCGGUGAAAUGCGUAGAUAUCUGGAGGAACACCGGUGGCGAAGGCGGCAUCCUGGACCGGUAUUGACGCUGAGGCGCGAAAGCUAGGGGAGCAAACGGG